ACGUACACUCCUACGGGAGGCAGCAGUGGGGAAUAUUGCACAAUGGGCGCAAGCCUGAUGCAGCCAUGCCGCGUGUAUGAAGAAGGCCUUCGGGUUGUAAAGUACUUUCAGCGGGGAGGAAGGCAAUACGGUUAAUAACCGUGUUGAUUGACGUUACCCGCAGAAGAAGCACCGGCUAACUCCGUGCCAGCAGCCGCGGUAAUACGGAGGGUGCAAGCGUUAAUCGGAAUUACUGGGCGUAAAGCGCACGCAGGCGGUCUGUCAAGUCGGAUGUGAAAUCCCCGGGCUCAACCUGGGAACUGCAUUCGAAACUGGCAGGCUUGAGUCUUGUAGAGGGGGGUAGAAUUCCAGGUGUAGCGGUGAAAUGCGUAGAGAUCUGGAGGAAUACCGGUGGCGAAGGCGGCCCCCUGGACAAAGACUGACGCUCAGGUGCGAAAGCGUGGGGAGCAAACAGGAUUAGAUACCCCGGUAGUCCCAUG
This 479-nucleotide ribosomal RNA is filed under the name uncultured organism. RNAcentral's name for it is "partial 16S ribosomal RNA". It matches the Rfam family "Bacterial small subunit ribosomal RNA", at positions 329 to 799 of the family's 1533-position model. The record is from RNAcentral.